AUGAAAGCUUUAGAAAUUUGGUUUUCAAAGGAGUCUACAGGUCCAGUUCCUAUAGAGCUAGUUGCUAAUGUGGAAGAAGUUGUACAUGACCUGAAGUUUGAGUCAUCUGAUCAGGACUAUAGUUAUGAUGAAGAUUAAGAUGGCCAGAUAGUUAGGAGGAAGAGCCAGUAUGUUAGAUUCAACCCAGACACAGAAAUUCCACAUUUUAGUUUGGGAAUGGUUUUCAAGAGCAAGAACCAAUUAGUGAAAGCACUAAAGAGGUAUGGGCUUGCCACUAAAAGGAGCAUAUCAUUUGUAAAAUCCGAGGAGCAUAGAGUGAGAGUAAAAUGUGGCUGGCCUGGUUGCCCCUGGAUGUUGUAUGGUGCCAAGACAAGUAGACGCUCUAGGUUUCAAGUUAUUACCUAUGAAGAUGAGCACAAUUGUGCACAGUACAGGGAGAACAAGCUUGUUACUACUAAGGUGAUUGCAAAUAGAUAUGCGCACAUUAUCCUAGCAUGUGGAAAAUUGAUAGCAUUAAAGCCACAGUGCUCAAAGAUAUGUUUGCUGACAUGUCAGUUUCAAAGUGCAAGGCAGCAAAGAAAAUUGUACUUGACAAACUCAUGCGUGGCAUGA
Molecule: ribosomal RNA, 612 nt
Filed under: Triticum aestivum (bread wheat)
Lineage: Eukaryota; Viridiplantae; Streptophyta; Magnoliopsida; Poales; Poaceae
Description: partial small subunit ribosomal RNA
Source: RNAcentral